UUAAGCGACUAAGCGUACACGGUGGAUGCCCUGGCAGUCAGAGGCGAUGAAGGACGUGCUAAUCUGCGAUAAGCGUCGGUAAGGUGAUAUGAACCGUUAUAACCGGCGAUUUCCGAAUGGGGAAACCCAGUGUGAUUCGUCACACUAUCAUUAACUGAAUCCAUAGGUUAAUGAGGCGAACCGGGGGAACUGAAACAUCUAAGUACCCCGAGGAAAAGAAAUCAACCGAGAUUCCCCCAGUAGCGGCGAGCGAACGGGGAGCAGCCCAGAGCCUGAAUCAGUGUGUGUGUUAGUGGAAGCGUCUGGAAAGGCGUGCGAUACAGGGUGACAGCCCCGUACACAAAAAUGCACAUACUGUGAGCUCGAUGAGUAGGGCGGGACACGUGGUAUCCUGUCUGAAUAUGGGGGGACCAUCCUCCAAGGCUAAAUACUCCUGACUGACCGAUAGUGAACCAGUACCGUGAGGGAAAGGCGAAAAGAACCCCGGCGAGGGGAGUGAAAAAGAACCUGAAACCGUGUACGUACAAGCAGUGGGAGCACAGAUCAUCUGUGUGACUGCGUACCUUUUGUAUAAUGGGUCAGCGACUUAUAUUCUGUAGCAAGGUUAACCGAAUAGGGGAGCCGAAGGGAAACCGAGUCUUAACUGGGCGUUAAGUUGCAGGGUAUAGACCCGAAACCCGGUGAUCUAGCCAUGGGCAGGUUGAAGGUUGGGUAACACUAACUGGAGGACCGAACCGACUAAUGUUGAAAAAUUAGCGUAUGACUUGUGGCUGGGGGUGAAAGGCCAAUCAAACCGGGAGAUAGCUGGUUCUCCCCGAAAGCUAUUUAGGUAGCGCCUCGUGAAUUCAUCUCCGGGGGUAGAGCACUGUUUCGGCAAGGGGGUCAUCCCGACUUACCAACCCGAUGCAAACUGCGAAUACCGGAGAAUGUUAUCACGGGAGACACACGGCGGGUGCUAACGUCCGUCGUGAAGAGGGAAACAACCCAGACCGCCAGCUAAGGUCCCAAAGUCAUGGUUAAGUGGGAAACGAUGUGGGAAGGCCCAGACAGCCAGGAUGUUGGCUUAGAAGCAGCCAUCAUUUAAAGAAAGCGUAAUAGCUCACUGGUCGAGUCGGCCUGCGCGGAAGAUGUAACGGGGCUAAACCAUGCACCGAAGCUGCGGCAGCGACGCUUAUGCGUUGUUGGGUAGGGGAGCGUUCUGUAAGCCUGCGAAGGUGUGCUGUGAGGCAUGCUGGAGGUAUCAGAAGUGCGAAUGCUGACAUAAGUAACGAUAAAGCGGGUGAAAAGCCCGCUCGCCGGAAGACCAAGGGUUCCUGUCCAACGUUAAUCGGGGCAGGGUGAGUCGACCCCUAAGGCGAGGCCGAAAGGCGUAGUCGAUGGGAAACAGGUUAAUAUUCCUGUACUUGGUGUUACUGCGAAGGGGGGACGGAGAAGGCUAUGUUGGCCGGGCGACGGUUGUCCCGGUUUAAGCGUGUAGGCUGGUUUUCCAGGCAAAUCCGGAAAAUCAAGGCUGAGGCGUGAUGACGAGGCACUACGGUGCUGAAGCAACAAAUGCCCUGCUUCCAGGAAAAGCCUCUAAGCAUCAGGUAACAUCAAAUCGUACCCCAAACCGACACAGGUGGUCAGGUAGAGAAUACCAAGGCGCUUGAGAGAACUCGGGUGAAGGAACUAGGCAAAAUGGUGCCGUAACUUCGGGAGAAGGCACGCUGAUAUGUAGGUGAAGUCCCUCGCGGAUGGAGCUGAAAUCAGUCGAAGAUACCAGCUGGCUGCAACUGUUUAUUAAAAACACAGCACUGUGCAAACACGAAAGUGGACGUAUACGGUGUGACGCCUGCCCGGUGCCGGAAGGUUAAUUGAUGGGGUUAGCGCAAGCGAAGCUCUUGAUCGAAGCCCCGGUAAACGGCGGCCGUAACUAUAACGGUCCUAAGGUAGCGAAAUUCCUUGUCGGGUAAGUUCCGACCUGCACGAAUGGCGUAAUGAUGGCCAGGCUGUCUCCACCCGAGACUCAGUGAAAUUGAACUCGCUGUGAAGAUGCAGUGUACCCGCGGCAAGACGGAAAGACCCCGUGAACCUUUACUAUAGCUUGACACUGAACAUUGAGCCUUGAUGUGUAGGAUAGGUGGGAGGCUUUGAAGUGUGGACGCCAGUCUGCAUGGAGCCGACCUUGAAAUACCACCCUUUAAUGUUUGAUGUUCUAACGUUGACCCGUAAUCCGGGUUGCGGACAGUGUCUGGUGGGUAGUUUGACUGGGGCGGUCUCCUCCUAAAGAGUAACGGAGGAGCACGAAGGUUGGCUAAUCCUGGUCGGACAUCAGGAGGUUAGUGCAAUGGCAUAAGCCAGCUUGACUGCGAGCGUGACGGCGCGAGCAGGUGCGAAAGCAGGUCAUAGUGAUCCGGUGGUUCUGAAUGGAAGGGCCAUCGCUCAACGGAUAAAAGGUACUCCGGGGAUAACAGGCUGAUACCGCCCAAGAGUUCAUAUCGACGGCGGUGUUUGGCACCUCGAUGUCGGCUCAUCACAUCCUGGGGCUGAAGUAGGUCCCAAGGGUAUGGCUGUUCGCCAUUUAAAGUGGUACGCGAGCUGGGUUUAGAACGUCGUGAGACAGUUCGGUCCCUAUCUGCCGUGGGCGUGGAGAACUGAGGGGGGCUGCUCCUAGUACGAGAGGACCGGAGUGGACGCAUCACUGGUGUUCGGGUUGUCAUGCCAAUGGCACUGCCCGGUAGCUAAAUGCGGAAGAGAUAAGUGCUGAAAGCAUCUAAGCACGAAACUUGCCCCGAGAUGAGUUCUCCCUGACUCCUUGAGAGUCCUGAAGGAACGUUGAAGACGACGACGUUGAUAGGCCGGGUGUGUAAGCGCAGCGAUGCGUUGAGCUAACCGGUACUAAUGAACCGUGAGGCUUAACCUU
Molecule: ribosomal RNA, 2902 nt
Filed under: Escherichia coli P0302293.2
Lineage: Bacteria; Pseudomonadati; Pseudomonadota; Gammaproteobacteria; Enterobacterales; Enterobacteriaceae
Description: bacterial LSU rRNA
Rfam family: Bacterial large subunit ribosomal RNA
Source: RNAcentral